This is a long non-coding RNA of Maniola jurtina (meadow brown), 1170 nucleotides long. RefSeq lists it as uncharacterized. The transcript is spliced from 3 exons. The record is from RefSeq and is a predicted model, not a curated record. Lineage: Eukaryota; Metazoa; Arthropoda; Insecta; Lepidoptera; Nymphalidae.
GAAGAAUAAAUUAGGCGUAAUGACAGUUUUUGUAUUGAAAACCUGCCCAAAUUUCAUAUUACUCGGAUAAGACUUUACGUUCGUGAAAUCGGCCCUUAGCCACAUAGUUAUUGGUCAAAAAUUGCAUAAUCUUUUUCGACAUAAAACAACGUUGCUAAGUAACUUAUCGACAGAUUAAAGAUAGAUUAAUUACAUUAAUAUCGGCCGUAGCUCAUCUUAUUAAUAUUUGGACGAGUGGCUUCGACACUGAAUGUAGAAUAUGCCUUGUAUAAUGAUAACAAAAAAAAAUGAAUUAUGUAAUAUACUCGUAAGACUUGACAAUGUGCGAUGUAAAGAAUAAUAAAGAUAAAGAAUAGGAUCAGUGGAGAAUUGUGUCAAUUGGAUACAGAUUUAGGCACCUGUCCCACCGCCGACGAGGAAGUAACUAUAUCCAUGGAGAGAAGUUAAUAUAGGGAGCUCUCUGUUACGUUAUCCCAUACAAAUGACAGAGACAAAAACUCGCGGAGCAUUAACCAUUUUGAUUCGCCAACCGAUCACAAACUAAACUGUACUUUCAAAUUGAAUUUCGAAUAUUUUUUUGUUUGAAAACUAUUCUCGAAUUUAAUUUCGAAUGGUUUUUGAAAACAUGUUUGUGAUUGGUUGCAGAAUCAAAAUGGUUACGCCCACUGAGUUUUUGUCUAUGUCAUUUGUAUGGGUUUACGUAACAGUCAGAUCCCCUGUACUAACUUCUCUCCGUGGAUACAGCUAUCGACUAUUUUCUCGCUCAGGAAACGUACAAUCGAUGUAUGAUUUCGUGUCAAUAAAAGAGAUAAAAUUUUGAGCACAAAAUGAAAAAAAGUUGAGCACAGCGUUGGCGAGAACUUUCUCACCACCAGUAUGUCGCAGCGACAAGAGCUAUUAAAGAAAAAAACUCGCUCAGCGACACUCUUGGUUGGUAGUCAAAGCACUUGCACAGUUUGCGCAGGAAUAAAUGUAUGUUUUCUCCUCAUAAUUCACUCGCCCAUAGCCUGGCGACAAAACUAUCCCAACUACCCACUCGCUUCUCGUCGCUCGCCAACUCGUUUCUAAUUUUUAGCUAACUUGUUUCUAACUAAUCGUCGGCGGUUGGACAAGUGCCUCAGUGUACGGGGGGCUUUAUUGCCCUUUGCAUUAUCUUAUCUAACCUAAUCG